Equus caballus (horse) is the source of this 2991-nucleotide long non-coding RNA. RefSeq lists it as uncharacterized. Lineage: Eukaryota; Metazoa; Chordata; Mammalia; Perissodactyla; Equidae. The record is from RefSeq and is a predicted model, not a curated record.
GGAGGUCUCAGCAGCCUCUGUACGAUCUGCGGGGGAGGCUGGGGUUCCUUGGUUGGUUCUUCGAAACGGAGCCAGGAAGGAUGUGAGCGCGUGGGGCCGUCCUUCGCGCCUUUGUACACGCCGUGACCUCCCUCUAAUGGAGGUGUCCAGCGGGGCACGCUGGCGCCGCACUCUUGGGUCCUCUCUGCCCGAAUCCCCGUAAACGGCGCCCUGAGCCUCGUAUGCAUCUUAUGCUAGGGAGUCUGAGGCUUGCUCGCGGUGCGAUCCUUAGCCCGAGGUCACACUCCUCGGCUCCCCAACCCCAGGGCAGGCCUCAGGUGUGGGGUCGGCUGAGCUUGGACUCUCCCUGGGCGCCCGCCUACCCCGCGCUGCUGCGCCCGCUGGGCUCCGUGGCGGCGACGGCUCUGGUGGACACGGCUCCGAAACCUGGAGAGUUCCGCAGGACACGCCUCAGAUACCUGGCGAGUUCCCCAACCUCUCACUCUCUCGGACUCCCAAGCCCCAGCUUCCUAACAUACAGGAUGAAGGUGUCCUCGGACUCUGCUCCUUCCGCUCUCCCUUCCCUUGUUGGGAUCAUUUUCGGCCUACAGUCAAGAAUCCAGGCUAGAACUUUUAUGGGAUGACUGCAGGUUUUGGUAACCAAGGGGAUGUGAUGUCUAAAGCGUUGCUGCGGCAGGAACCAGGAUAUGCAAGUACUUGGAGGUUGUUUGUGUGGUGUGGAAGAUGGAGAAACAUCUUCUGGGCACAAUGUUUCUAUAGAAAAAGUUUCUUAGGAGUUUCCACCUAGAAGGCCUACCCCAGAGAGAUGUGUGGCCCCAUCUUGAAAGAUGGUUUGCACCUGGCUGAGCAUCUGGGGACACGCCCUUGUGGAGAAACCGCUCCCAGGUGAGGCAUGUGGGAAAUAGUUCUCGUUCAGCACACCCAAAGCAGCAGAGUGGAGAGAACUCUUCGGCAGGAAUGAAGGCAGGGCCUUGUUUAUGAAGAGCUGCAGAGCCUACAUGUCAGAGAAACCCUCCACAUGUAGGGAUACUGGGAAGGAUUUCUCGGCCAGCUAAGGCAUUUUCCAGCAAGAGGCCCCUCACACCAGGAGCAAGCCACACAGGGGCUCUGCAUGUGGGGAGCCUUUCACACUAGACAAAGGAAUCACAAGUGUAGCACAUGUGGGAAAGCCUUCAGCCACAAAGACGCUCUUGUUCAGCACCAGAGAAUCCACACUACAGAAAGGCCUUACAAGUGCCCUGAAUGUGGAAAAUCCUAUGGAAGCUUCCACCUUGUUCAGCACCAGAGAAAGCACACUGGAGCAAAGCCCCAUGAGUACAGCGAUGUGGGAAAGCCUUCAGCUGCAAAGACCCCCUUGUUCAGCACCAGAGGAUCCACAGUGCAGAAGGGCCUCGUGUGUGCUAUUAAUGUGUGAAAGUCUUUAGCUAAAGCUGCAUUCUUAUUGCACACUAGAAACUGGUUCACUGGUGAUAGGUGUUACGUGGAUGACAAAUAUGGGAAAUUCAUUAGCCAAAGCUCCUGCUGCAUUCAGCACUGCAGAAUUCACACGGGAGAGGCCUCAGGAGUGCAGCAACUGCGGGAAAGCCUUCACCAGGAGCUUUCUUGUUCUGCACCAGAACAAAAAGGCUUUAUCAGUGUAGCCAGUGUUGGAGUGCUUUCAGCUGCAUCUGUAAGUUCGUGCACCAGAACGUUCAGAUUAGAGAAAAGCCAUAUAAAGGCAUGAUGUCAUUCAGCACCAGAAAGUUCACACUGGAGAAAGUUCUUAGGAGUGCAGUGGAUAUGCUGUCUCCCUGUUCAACAUAGCUCAUACCAGAGGGCAGCUCUGAGAUUACCCUUUGUGAAGGCAUCAUCUGCCAGAAGUUAGAGCAUCAUACAUCUGAACCUCCAUGCUGGAGAGAUGCCUGAUGGGUGCCAGGUAUGUGGUAAGCUUUCAGAAGCUACAAUUGCAGUUUCUCACCUGCCCAGAGCCCUUCCUAGAGUUAGGUCAUUGCCAGUGCCUCUGUUAGAAGCCACCUCACCUCUGCCAGCUUGUUGGGCCCCACAGUUGCACCAGUCACCCCAGCGUGCUCAAGGAAGUCAGAAAUCGGUGCUUGCUCCCCAAUUCCUAGAGAGAUUCAUGAGUACCCUGAGCCUGUAGAGGAGGCUCCCUACCUUUUCUCUCACUGGUGUGGGGGUGGACAUAACCCAUCUUUGGCCACAAGGACCUGAGCUAGGUUUUUUCUGGCAGCUUGCAGAGGCUUCCUUGGAUGCUAAGAACAUUGUUGUCUCAUGGAUGCUUGUGAUGGAUUUGUCCAGCCUCAGUCACUCAGACCCUGGAACUGACUACCCUGCAUUGCUCUGGUUUGCUGUGUGACUUUUGGAACAGCUACUUUUAAUGUUAUGAGUUUAAUCCAUCUUUAAAUUUGGGGGAAUUCUUUUUACUAUGUGGAGAGAAUUGAAAUCAGAAGUGGGCUCUACCAGCAUGAAGAAGUGAGCAGCUUUUGAUGUGCUCCUAGAUCUGUGUGUGUUAGAAUUGUGUGCCUUGAAGUGGAUAGCACUGUGACAGAAAACACUUCUCAGUCCAGUUUUGGCCUAAAUUUCCUUGCUGACCAAGAUCUUCUGGGAAAGACUGAAAGACUUUGUGUAAUCUUAUGGUCUGGAUUCCAGGAUUUUUUUGUGGGCCCUGCCUUCCCUGGCUCUUAUCCCCAGGUGACUUUAUUUGUUACUUUCACUAUAGAUUAAAUUGCUUUUUCUUGAAUUUUAUAUAAAUUUAAUCAUCAAGUAUUGACUCCCUUUUGUACAGUUCUUUUCAUGCAGCAUAAUUAUUGUGAGAUCCAUCCAUGUUGUUUGUAUCAGUAGCUCAUUCUUUUUAUUGCUGAGGAGUGUUCUAUUGUAUGACUGUAACACAAUUUAUGUAUCCAUUCAUCUGUUAAUUGACAUUUGGGUUGUUUGCAGUUUGAGGCUAUGAAAAAUUAAGCUGCUAUAAAAUUCAUAGUGAAGUCUUUCUAUGAA